This 227-nucleotide signal recognition particle RNA is filed under the name bovine gut metagenome. RNAcentral's name for it is "Bacterial large signal recognition particle RNA". It matches the Rfam family "Bacterial large signal recognition particle RNA", at positions 3 to 226 of the family's 256-position model. Rfam says of the family: The signal recognition particle (SRP) is a universally conserved ribonucleoprotein involved in the co-translational targeting of proteins to membranes. The record is from RNAcentral.
GCACUAGGUGGGGAGCCAGCGGUGCCCUUAACCUGCAAUCCGCUACAGCAGGGCUGAAGGUCCUUCUCGGGGGUAAUUAUGGUUGGCCGGGCCGGAAAAGGGGCGUUGAUAUCAAGGUCUCGUGCAACGGACGGUUGUGAACCGUGUCAGGAUAGGGAUAUAGCAGCACUAAGCAAUUUCGAUCCGUGUGACUUGAGGUUGCUUUGAAGGAGUUACCUGUCCGGUUA